UACGGAGGGGGCAAGCGUUGUUCGGAGUUACUGGGCGUAAAGCGCGCGUAGGCGGUGCGGUAAGUCAGGGGUUAAAGGCUGCAGCUCAACUGCAGUAAGGCCUUUGAUACUAUCGCGCUAGAGUGUCAGAGAGGAUGGCGGAAUUCCCGGUGUAGCGGUGAAAUGCGUAGAUACCGGGAGGAACACCAGUAGCGAAGGCGGCCAUCUGGCUGAUAACUGACGCUGAGGUGCGAGAGCGUGGGGAGCAAACAGU
Molecule: ribosomal RNA, 253 nt
Filed under: uncultured microorganism
Description: partial 16S ribosomal RNA
Rfam family: Bacterial small subunit ribosomal RNA
Source: RNAcentral